UACGGAGGGGGCUAGCGUUGUUCGGAAUUACUGGGCGUAAAGCGCACGUAGGCGGAUCAACCAGUCAGGGGUGAAAUCCCGGGGCUCAACCCCGGAACUGCCUUUGAUACUGUUGGUCUGGAGGUCGAGAGAGGCGAGUGGAAUUCCGAGUGUAGAGGUGAAAUUCGUAGAUAUUCGGAGGAACACCAGUGGCGAAGGCGGCUCGCUGGCUCGAUACUGACGCUGAGGUGCGAAAGCGUGGGGAGCAAACAGG
Molecule: ribosomal RNA, 253 nt
Filed under: uncultured bacterium
Lineage: Bacteria
Description: partial 16S ribosomal RNA
Rfam family: Bacterial small subunit ribosomal RNA
Source: RNAcentral